RNAcentral lists this ribosomal RNA (472 nucleotides) under Rhizobium leguminosarum bv. phaseoli. Its description in RNAcentral is "partial 23S ribosomal RNA". It matches the Rfam family "Bacterial large subunit ribosomal RNA", at positions 707 to 1178 of the family's 2925-position model. Lineage: Bacteria; Pseudomonadati; Pseudomonadota; Alphaproteobacteria; Hyphomicrobiales; Rhizobiaceae. The record is from RNAcentral.
GUGUAGACCCGAAACCAAGUGAUCUAUCCAUGGCCAGGAUGAAGGUGCCGUAACAGGUACUGGAGGUCCGAACCGACUAGUGUUGCAAAACUAGCGGAUGAGCUGUGGAUAGGGGUGAAAGGCUAAACAAACUUGGAAAUAGCUGGUUCUCUCCGAAAACUAUUUAGGUAGUGCCUCAAGUAUUACCGUCGGGGGUAGAGCACUGUUUUGGCUAGGGGGUCAUGGCGACUUACCAAACCAAGGCAAACUCCGAAUACCGACGAGUACAGCUUGGGAGACAGAGCACCGGGUGCUAACGUCCGGACUCAAGAGGGAAACAACCCAGACCGCCAGCUAAGGUCCCUAAAAUUGGCUAAGUGGGAAACGAAGUGGGAAGGCUAAAACAGUCAGGAUGUUGGCUUAGAAGCAGCCAUCAUUUAAAGAAAGCGUAAUAGCUCACUGAUCGAGUCGUCCUGCGCGGAAGAUGUAACGG